UUAGCACUUUCACAGGUCCUCUCCUAGGCAGUGGGGCCAGGAUUUGGCAGCUGGUACUGAAAGAAAUCCCUUGAUUAUAUCUUUGCCCUGGGACUGUACCAGUGGCAUUUGACACUCAAGUGGAUGGAG
This is a small nucleolar RNA of Lepus europaeus (European hare), 129 nucleotides long. RefSeq annotates it as small nucleolar RNA SNORA30/SNORA37 family. The transcript has a single exon. The record is from RefSeq and is a predicted model, not a curated record. Lineage: Eukaryota; Metazoa; Chordata; Mammalia; Lagomorpha; Leporidae.